GUAGAACCUAUGGAGGUAGAGCACUGAAUGGGCUAGGGGCCAAGUAGGUUACCGAACCCUAUCAAACUCCGAAUGCCAUAGGGAGGAACCUGGGAGUCAGACUACGAGUGAUAAGAUCCGUAGUCGAGAGGGGAACAGCCCAGACCUCCAGCUAAGGUCCCAAAGGGCAUGUUAAGUGGUAAAGGAAGUUGGACUUCGAAGACAACCAGGAUGUUGGCUUAGAAGCAGCCAUACAUUUAAAGAGUGCGUAACAGCUCACUGGUCGAGAGGUCCUGCGCCGAAAAUGAACGGGGCUCAAACAUGCCACCGAAGCUGGGGCUACCGCGGAAGCGGUGGGGUAGGGGAGCGUACUGUACGGGUAGAAGGCAAAGCGUAAGCUAAGCUGGACUGUACAGUAGAGAGAAUGCCGGCAUGAGUAACGAGAGUAAGGUGAGAAACCUUACCGCCGGAAGCCUGAGGUUUCCUGGGGAAGGGUAAUCCACCCAGGGUAAGUCGGGGCCUAAGCCGAGGCGAAAGCGUAGGCGAUGGGGAACCGGUAGAGAAUCCGGUACCACCGAGGGCCGCAAAGAGAAGUGGGGACGCAGCGAGAUAGGUGGAGCGUGCGGUUGGUAGAGCACGUCCAAUCAGGCACCGAAGGGUACGUAGGCAAAUCCGCGUACUGGCAGGGGUCUGAGAAGGGGAGCCGGAAGGCGAAGCCACCGAAGCAGCUGCCGAGAAAAGCCGCUAUCGAGGUCCAAGGUGCCCGUACUGCAAACCGACACAGGUAGGCGAGGAGAGGAUCCACAGGCGAGCGGGAGAACCCUCAUUAAGGAACUCGGCAAAAUGACUCCGUAACUUCGGGAGAAGGAGUGCCGAAAGGCCGCAGAGAAGAGGCCCAAGCGACUGUUUACCAAAAACACAGGUCUCUGCUAAGUCGGAAGACGAAGUAUAGGGGCUGACGCCUGCCCGGUGCUGGAAGGUUAAGGGGAAGUGUGAGAGCACUGAACCGAAGCCCCAGUGAACGGCGGCCGUAACUAUAACGGUCCUAAGGUAGCGAAAUUCCUUGUCGGGUAAGUUCCGACCCGCACGAAAGGCGUAACGACUUGGGCGCUGUCUUGAUGAGGGGCCCGGUGAAAUUGUAGUACUCGUGAAGAUGCGAGUUACC
RNAcentral lists this ribosomal RNA (1144 nucleotides) under Thermoanaerobacter ethanolicus subsp. thermohydrosulfuricus. Its description in RNAcentral is "bacterial LSU rRNA". It matches the Rfam family "Bacterial large subunit ribosomal RNA", at positions 886 to 2070 of the family's 2925-position model. The record is from RNAcentral. Lineage: Bacteria; Bacillati; Bacillota; Clostridia; Thermoanaerobacterales; Thermoanaerobacteraceae.